ACAAAAUUAACCGAACUGCAGGUGUGAAAACACCCGCAGACAUACGUAAAGAUGGACGACAUGACAGCUCCCCAAAAGUGGAGCCAAAAUAUCCGGAUUGCCCCCUGGUGGCUGGCUGCAGUAUAAACCCCGCCUCUUCCAUGUGAGUGGAUGGGACAUACGUAGUUCUUAUCGUAGUGAUGUAUGUUCAAGAGUUCAAAUGUUUCUGACAAGUUUGGUUUUAAUUACCUCAGCCAAGGAGAUUAUGUCUUCACCCCUUUGUCUGUUUCAAUCAGCAGGAUUACGCAUAAACCAAUGAACGGAUUGCCACGAAAUUCGGUGGAAGGAUGGGACGUGGCCUCGGACCCACGUUUUUUUUUUUUUUAAAAGUCACCUGGAUCUGCAUGUCUAGUAUGACACUCCCUACAAUUACUCACUUUCCAGCAUGCCUUGUGCCUUCCGGCCUACAAACAGAACCACAACCCUUCAGGGUGAAGCGAACAGCAAAGCCAACCAUAAAAUCAGCUGUAUGAAAGGCAAUUAUAUCUGCAGACCCACAAAGUGGGGGGGAACGGCCAUGUGAUAAAGUGGCAAAUGAAAAAACUGCAGAUAGGCGCCAUGGUAACGCGGCUCUCUCAGCGGCACAAACAAACGGCGCCGGAGCAGAAAUGGAGAGGUUGAGAGCGAAUGCUAAUCAUAAGAUGUUCUAAUGCACUUCCUCACGCUGACAAAACACAGACAUGCUCUUUAAACAGCCGUUGUCAGCGUCGCAGUCAGGACUGAAUUGAUAAUGUGUCUGUCUCUCCGCUUAGCGAUGGAAAAAAAAGCGAGGCGCAGGAGGAACAGUGGAGGCCAAAAAAAAAAAUCAAGUGUGAGAUCCUGUUCCCAGCUGUGCUUCACGUUCAUCUGGGAUCGCCCCCGGAUCAGAACCCGAGUGAGUGAUCAGGAGAAAGACCUGGAAGGAGAUGAGCAGGGAGCAGCGUCCGUCAGCCGCCUGUAAUCCAAGGCUCGGAUCUCACCAGCGUUACGGCGACGACAAAGGCAGAUGUGCAGAGCGACGGAGCUGAUGCAGUUGACAGCCGCAGUCGUCGUGGUUUUAACACACGUCAGCUGACUGACACUACACGUACCAAUGAAAUGCUUCUGUGCGACUGCAAUGUCCAGUUGUCAACAUUUCAGGAAAUCCAGGUAAUUGUUAACCUGACGUUGUUAAUGUUAUGACUGACGACGUUGGACCCACCACAUCUGUCGAAGAAAUCUGGAAAAUUCCGACUCGGAUGCAAAGCAAUUAGCCUCAGCUUGGAUUUGCCCUGUAAGCGACUUUUGAAUGACUUUAACUACGAC
This 1323-nucleotide long non-coding RNA is filed under the name Scophthalmus maximus (turbot). Its description in RNAcentral is "lncRNA (ENSSMAG00000023185.1)". Lineage: Eukaryota; Metazoa; Chordata; Actinopteri; Pleuronectiformes; Scophthalmidae. The record is from RNAcentral.